CAGCCGCCGCGGGAAUACGUAGGGUGCGAGCGUUAAUCGGAAUUACUGGGCGUAAAGCGUGCGCAGGCGGUUGUGUAAGACAGGUGUGAAAUCCCCGGGCUUAACCUGGGAACUGCGCUUGUGACUGCACAGCUAGAGUAUGGCAGAGGGGGGUGGAAUUCCACGUGUAGCAGUGAAAUGCGUAGAGAUGUGGAGGAACACCGAUGGCGAAGGCAGCCCCCUGGGCCAAUACUGACGCUCAUGCACGAAAGCGUGGGGAGCAAACAGGAUUAGAUACCCGUGUAGUCCCUGUCUCUUAUAA
Molecule: ribosomal RNA, 301 nt
Filed under: uncultured bacterium
Lineage: Bacteria
Description: partial 16S ribosomal RNA
Rfam family: Bacterial small subunit ribosomal RNA
Source: RNAcentral